This 850-nucleotide ribosomal RNA is filed under the name uncultured bacterium. Its description in RNAcentral is "bacterial SSU rRNA". It matches the Rfam family "Bacterial small subunit ribosomal RNA", at positions 92 to 985 of the family's 1533-position model. The record is from RNAcentral.
GCAGUGGCAAACGGGUGAGUAUAAGAUAGGAACGUACUUCGAAGCGGGGCAUAGCCCACCGAAAGGUGGGGUAAUUUCCCAUACGCCUACGGGUGAAAGACGCAAGUCACUUCGAAAACGGCCUAUCUACUACCAGCUAGUUGGUAAGGUAACGGCUUACCAAGGCAAUGACGGUUACCGGCUCUUAGCGGAGAGUCCGGCACAAUGGGACUGAGACACGGCCCAUACACCUACGGGUGGCAGCAGUUAGGAAUUUUGCGCAAUGGACGAAAGUCUGACGCAGCGACACCGCGUGGAGGAUGAAGACCUUAGGGUUGUAAACUCCUUUUUAGCGGCCAUGAAGGCCACUAGAAUAAGUAGCUACUAACUACGUGCCAGCAGUCGCGGUAAUACGUAGGCUACGAGCGUUACUCGGAUUUAUUGGGCGUAAAGGGUCUGUAGACGGUUUUUUAAGUCUGAUUUCAAAGCCCCCGACUUAAUCGGGGAAAGGGGUCAGAUACUGGAAGACUAGAGUGGUAUCGGAGUUACUGGAAUUUUUAGUGUAGGGGUUAAAUCCGUGGAUACUAAAAAGAACACCAAGCGCGAAGGCGGGUAACUAGGUACAUACUGACGUUCAGAGACGAAAGCUAGGGUAGCCAAUCAGAUUAGAGACCUGAGUAGUCCUAGCCGUAAACAUUGUCCGUUAGUUCUUCCCAAUUUAUUGGGGGGGAUGUUAGCAAACGCGUUAAACGGAUCGCCUAGGGAGUAUAGCCGCAGGGCCGAAACUCAAACGAAUUGGCGGGGAGGCGCACAACCAGUGGAGCAUGUGGUUCAAUUCGAUACAAAGCGAUGAACCUUACCUGGGUUUGAA